This 497-nucleotide ribosomal RNA is filed under the name uncultured bacterium. RNAcentral describes it as "partial 16S ribosomal RNA". It matches the Rfam family "Bacterial small subunit ribosomal RNA", at positions 28 to 507 of the family's 1533-position model. The record is from RNAcentral.
GAUGAACGCUGGCGGCGUGCCUAAUACAUGCAAGUCGAGCGAACAGAUGAGGAGCUUGCUCCUCUGACGUUAGCGGCGGACGGGUGAGUAACACGUGGAUAACCUACCUAUAAGACUGGGAUAACUUCGGGAAACCGGAGCUAAUACCGGAUAAUAUAUUGAACCGCAUGGUUCAAUAGUGAAAGACGGUUUUGCUGUCACUUAUAGAUGGAUCCGCGCCGCAUUAGCUAGUUGGUAAGGUAACGGCUUACCAAGGCGACGAUGCGUAGCCGACCUGAGAGGGUGAUCGGCCACACUGGAACUGAGACACGGUCCAGACUCCUACGGGAGGCAGCAGUAGGGAAUCUUCCGCAAUGGGCGAAAGCCUGACGGAGCAACGCCGCGUGAGUGAUGAAGGUCUUCGGAUCGUAAAACUCUGUUAUUAGGGAAGAACAAAUGUGUAAGUCACUAUGCACGUCUUGACGGUACCUAAUCAGAAAGCCACGGCUAACUACGUG